UGGGGAAUAUUGCACAAUGGGCGCAAGCCUGAUGCGGCGACGCCGCGUGAGGGAUGACGGCCUUCGGGUUGUAACCUCUUUCAGCAGGGACGAAGCGCAAGUGACGGUACCUGUAGAAGAAGGACCGGCCAACUACGUGCCAGCAGCCGCGGUAAUACGUAGGGUCCGAGCGUUGUCCGGAAUUACUGGGCGUAAAGAGCUCGUAGGUGGUUUGUCGCGUUGUUCGUGAAAACUCACAGCUCAACUGUGGGCGUGCGGGCGAUACGGGCAGACUUGAGUACUGCAGGGGAGACUGGAAUUCCUGGUGUAGCGGUGGAAUGCGCAGAUAUCAGGAGGAACACCGGUGGCGAAGGCGGGUCUCUGGGCAGUAACUGACGCUGAGGAGCGAAAGCGUGGGGAGCGAACAGGAUUAGAUACCCUGGUAGUCCACGCCGUAAACGGUGGGUACUAGGUGUGGGUUUCCUUCCUUGGGAUCCGUGCCGUAGCUAACGCAUUAAGUACCCCGCCU
Molecule: ribosomal RNA, 508 nt
Filed under: uncultured Actinomycetes bacterium
Lineage: Bacteria; Bacillati; Actinomycetota; Actinomycetes
Description: bacterial SSU rRNA
Rfam family: Bacterial small subunit ribosomal RNA
Source: RNAcentral